RNAcentral lists this ribosomal RNA (677 nucleotides) under Phyllactinia magnoliae. RNAcentral describes it as "eukaryotic LSU rRNA". It matches the Rfam family "Eukaryotic large subunit ribosomal RNA", at positions 81 to 773 of the family's 3401-position model. Lineage: Eukaryota; Fungi; Ascomycota; Leotiomycetes; Helotiales; Erysiphaceae. The record is from RNAcentral.
UAGUAACGGCGAGUGAAGCGGUAACAGCUCAAAUUUGAAAUCUGGCUCCCUGCGGAGUCCGAGUUGUAAUUUGUAGAAGAUGCUUUGGGUGCACGAUCCGGCCUAAGUGCCUUGGAACAGGACGUCGUAGAGGGUGAGAACACCGUAUGCGGCCGGUUUCGACGCCCGUGUAAAGCUCUUUCGACGAGUCGAGUUGUUUGGGAAUGCAGCUCAAAAUGGGUGGUAAAUUUCAUCUAAAGCUAAAUAUGGGCCAGAGACCGAUAGCGCACAAGUAGAGUGAUCGAAAGAUGAAAAGCACUUUGGAAAGAGAGUUAAACAGUACGUGAAAUUGUUGAAAGGGAAGCGCUUGCAACCAGACUUGGGCGUCGCUGAUCAUCCAAAGUUCUCUUUGGUGCACUCGACGACGCACAGGCCAGCAUCGGUUGGGGUGGUGGGAGAAAGACUGCAGGAACGUAGCUCUUUUCGGAGAGUGUUAUAGCCUGCGGUGCAAUACCGCCUACCUCGACCGAGGACCGCGCUUCGGCUAGGAUGCUGGCGUAAUGGUUGUAAGCGACCCGUCUUGAAACACGGACCAAGGAGUCUAACAUCUAUGCGAGUGUUUGGGUGCGAAACCCAUGCGCGAAAUGAAAGUGAACGUAGGUGAGAACCCUUUAAGGGGGCAUCAUCGACCGAUCCUG